RNAcentral lists this small RNA (99 nucleotides) under Clostridium perfringens str. 13. RNAcentral's name for it is "Clostridioides difficile sRNA included into helicase gene". It matches the Rfam family "Clostridioides difficile sRNA included into helicase gene". Rfam says of the family: This element was identified by RNA deep sequencing of Clostridioides difficile 630 where it is located within gene CD0749 (putative DNA helicase, UvrD/REP type) in the same direction as the gene. A strong transcription start site for this RNA was experimentally confirmed, in the 3' region of gene CD0749. The 3' end of the sRNA has not been confirmed and its length was arbitrarily set to 100nt. Lineage: Bacteria; Bacillati; Bacillota; Clostridia; Eubacteriales; Clostridiaceae. The record is from Rfam by way of RNAcentral.
GCUUGCUUUGAACAUGAUAAUCAAAUGGAAGAGGCUAGAAGACUUUGCUAUGUUGGAAUAACUAGAGCUGAGGAAAAGUUAUAUAUGACAUCAGCUGAA